AUUUAAUUUAAGAAGAAAACUUCUCCCCCUUCUUCAGUUCCCUCUCUCAAUCCAUGGUGAUGAAUUGGAAGACUUCAAAAUCAUACAAAUUUGUGUUCAGCAGGUGAACAAUAAAGUGUGCUCAAAAGAAUCUCUAAUCUCUCAAAGUAAAGACUGUGUGAGCUCUCUGAUGAAACUUUCCUUCUCUGAUGGCUAAUACGCCCAUCUCAUUCAAUCUUCAUCUCAAAGCAUAAGUUAUUCCAAAUAAUAUGAUAGCUUUUUGGAGGCAUUUUAAAAAUAUUUUAGCACAUUUUCACUUGAUUGGAAAAUACUUUAGUAAUAAACUUAUUGGUUCUAAGUUGUAAGUAUCUUCAAGUUAAAUGUACUGCAAUCAGCUUCAAAGAUUUUGUAUUUUCUACAUGUCCAAGUAAUGGUUUUCCUUGUUUAUUUUCAUUAAAAAUCUUAGAUGGUAAAGUAAAACUUGUUAGAUGGUAAGCCUAGAGGACAUGCACCUUUGCUUUAUUUAUCUCAAAACAAAUCUUAGUAGUGAUAAGCAGCAUAUAAAUUGCAUAAAAGUAUCUGCAUUAGUUAUGGGGGUAAAGCAUUUGAGUUAAACAAAUUAGCUAAAUAGUUAAAUUUUCGUGUAAGAGGUUUGAGUUUUUGUGCUAGCAAAGCAUCUGGUGUUGCUUCUGUCCAUAUAUAUUAAAAGCUGAUUGUUGGGUCCUUUUCCCAAACCUUUCUGAUGAUUUUAUUACCUCUCCAAAUAUAUCAACUAUGAUAGGCAUGCUUCAGUAUCUGAGGCAUGACCCAUUUCAAUCAAAAAGUUGUACGGAAGAAGUUCCAAGCUUCAUAGCACCAGUGUGAGUUUUUUUGCAUAGGUUGUCUUUUGUUAGACAUGUCCUUCUUACAAAUGUGAAGUGUUUGGUUUCCCAUUCUUUAGAAACAUACAUAGUUGACCAAUAUAAGGAAGAAUCAUGUCCAACAUAUAUACUUCUCCGCUAACUAGGAUUAAUUCCAUCAUAGUCAAGAGAUUUCUAGUAUCAAGACAGAAAGUAAGUUUUCACUACAUGCGUCAAGUUAAGGAAAUUUAACACACAACUUAACAUUGUAAUAAACAUCAACUCCAGAAUCCCAAAUUAGGUGAUGGUUCAUCGAGUUGUGUCUUCACAUAUACUAAGGAGCACAUCCAUCGUACUUCUUGGCCUAACAUGGAGUAUUUCCUUUAUAAGCAUGAAAAUCCUAUAAGUAAGCUGCAUUUCAUCCUCUUCUAAUAGUACCUUCUCCUUAUCGACUUAUAAACCUUUCCAUUCUUUUGAUUGAUGACAUGUUAAAUAGGCCGUCUUUUUGAAAUGUUGUAAGAGCUUGUACACUUUCUAUGAAUUGGCUAUGUACUUGUCAUAGAACUCAACAUGAGGAAUUUUAUUGAACAGUCUGGGAAACAGUAGAGGAAUUGACAUCCCCUACAAUUGGAUUUAUUCCCAUUAUCAAUUGUUUCCUCAGGUUUCAUAUAAGAAUAAUAUUGAAAGUUACCCUCGUCAAUACUAGUAUAAAGGUAUGUCUUAAUGUUGAUUGUUUGAUAUAUUUGCUUGACACAAACUGUUGAUUCUUCUUCGUGUUUUUUCUUCACAUAUGAGGAAGAAUCAUGUCCAAAAUAUUUCUUAGUAAAUAAGAAAAUCCUACUAACCAUACAGAAAGUAAGUUCCCAUGAAAUACUUUAAACUCGCAUAAGAGAAUUUAACACAAAAUAUCACUUCAAAAUAAAAAUCAACUCAAUAACCCCAAAUUGAAUGAUGAUUCUUAGAUUUUCUUCUUCACAUAUGAGGAAGGAUCAUGUUCGACAUAAAUAGAUCUCAGUCUAACUUGGACUAAUCCCUUAACAUGAAAGAAAUUCCUGCUACUUAAAAAGUAAGUUCCCACUGAGAAAAUUCAUACAUCAUUUAAGAACAAGCAUGGAAUGUAAAAACCAUCUUUGUUCCCAAACAGAGUGUUCAAAACAUUCAACAAGGUUCACAAUUCUAUGUUUCCAAGUAGAUAAAAUAUUUAUUUUACCUUAAACCAAAGGCAGAACACAACUUUACCGCCCCAUCAACAAAACGUCUCUUUUCUGUUUGCACAUCCAAAACACUUUAGCCAAAGAUUAAGAAGGAUUGUGAUAACGAUACUAAUCAACAAGAUUCACAACUUCUGCUUUAGAUGAUUCCCGUUGAAAAUUUGUUAUCUCCGCUUGUUCUUUGAGAGAUUUUUUAUAUUCCAUUUGACUAGGCUUGACUUCCAUUUUUACAAGUGUUGGAGACUUUUCCAAUAAAACCUUACUAAGUUGCAUUUCACCCUCUUCUUAUAGUUCAUCAUACAACUUAACUAUCCUCAAAUGAUGUCCGAGAAGAUUGCAGGAAUCUAAUAAACAAUUUCCUGUGGCACAGAUUCGAAAUAACGAUACACUCGUAAGAAGAAUCAAGAAAAAACCAUCAAAUUCAUUACAUACGAAUAUAAAAAUAUGGAAAA
Molecule: long non-coding RNA, 2481 nt
Organism: Solanum lycopersicum (tomato)
Lineage: Eukaryota; Viridiplantae; Streptophyta; Magnoliopsida; Solanales; Solanaceae
Source: RefSeq, a predicted model, not a curated record